GACGAACGCUGGCGGCGUGCUUAACACAUGCAAGUCGAACGGAAAGGCCCUGCUUUUGUGGGGUGCUCGAGUGGCGAACGGGUGAGUAACACGUGAGUAACCUGCCCUUGACUUUGGGAUAACUUCAGGUAACUGGGGCUAAUACCGGAUAGGAGCUCCUGCUGCAUGGUGGGGGUUGGAAAGUUUCGGCGGUUGGGGAUGGACUCGCGGCUUAUCAGCUUGUUGGUGGGGUAGUGGCUUACCAAGGCUUUGACGGGUAGCCGGCCUGAGAGGGUGACCGGCCACAUUGGGACUGAGAUACGGCCCAGACUCCUACGGGAGGCAGCAGUGGGGAAUAUUGCACAAUGGGCGGAAGCCUGAUGCAGCAACGCCGCGUGCGGGAUGACGGCCUUCGGGUUGUAAACCGCUUUCGCCUGUGACGAAGCGUGAGUGACGGUAAUGGGUAAAGAAGCACCGGCUAACUACGUG
RNAcentral lists this ribosomal RNA (468 nucleotides) under uncultured bacterium. Its description in RNAcentral is "partial 16S ribosomal RNA". It matches the Rfam family "Bacterial small subunit ribosomal RNA", at positions 28 to 507 of the family's 1533-position model. The record is from RNAcentral.